RNAcentral lists this transfer RNA (72 nucleotides) under Marmota marmota marmota (Alpine marmot). It matches the Rfam family "tRNA". Rfam says of the family: Transfer RNA (tRNA) molecules are approximately 80 nucleotides in length. Their secondary structure includes four short double-helical elements and three loops (D, anti-codon, and T loops). Lineage: Eukaryota; Metazoa; Chordata; Mammalia; Rodentia; Sciuridae. The record is from Rfam by way of RNAcentral. RNAcentral also lists the same sequence under 3 other names.
UGGGUUGUGGCUCAGUGGUAGAGCGCUCACCUAGCAUGUGUGAGGCCCUGGGUUCCAUCCUCAGCACCACAU